Molecule: long non-coding RNA, 608 nt
Organism: Frankliniella occidentalis (western flower thrips)
Lineage: Eukaryota; Metazoa; Arthropoda; Insecta; Thysanoptera; Thripidae
Exons: 3
Source: RefSeq, a predicted model, not a curated record
UCGAUUCAGAGGGGGGAGGAGGGGGAGUGGGAGUGUUGUGUUGUGUUGUGUGUUUCAAGACGAGGGUGGUGGACUGUGUUUGACUGUUGCUCACUUCUGACUUCUUUGUGAUUGGUGAUUCAUUUCUUGGGCCGUUGUUAUCCAUCAGACGACGUCGUGGACCCUGCUCGCAGUUUGAAGCCUCCGUGCGCCAGCGAGAUUGUGACCCAACGCCGCCGUCUUCGCAAUCGCCCUGAUCCCCUGGACCACCUCUCUCAAGGCUCCAGGAGGACCGAGCAGCUCCAGGAGUGCCCCUACCCCAUCUGGAAGCAGGCUUAACUCUCCGGCAGAUCGUAAAUACAGCGAGUCUAUUUGCUCUCCCACUAUGCCUAUGCCUGCAAAGAAUUUCGAUUGUACUCUCUGCAACAAAAAGUUUUCUCGGAGUCACAACCUAGGUGUCCAUCUGCGAAACCACGCAGGAGAAACUCCUUUCGCAUGUACUAUCUGCAACAAGAAAUUUUCGGAGAGUGGGAGUCUGCUUGUACAUCUGCGAACCCAUACAGAAGAAACUCCUUUCGAAUGUACUCUCUGCAACAAGAAGUUUUCUAAAAGUGGGAGUCUGCGUAGAC